RNAcentral lists this unclassified non-coding RNA (5074 nucleotides) under Megachile rotundata (alfalfa leafcutting bee). Its description in RNAcentral is "uncharacterized protein CG43867, transcript variant X1". Lineage: Eukaryota; Metazoa; Arthropoda; Insecta; Hymenoptera; Megachilidae. The record is from RNAcentral.
GCCGAGUUUCGAGCCUGGACCGGCGUCGCGAGGACACUUCGAUCGAGCCUACUCGUUCUCGGGAAGGCAACCGGAUCAGAGUAGCAGGAUGUUCGCGGAGAAUCGGUUGUACGCGGAGUCGAGGAGCGUCGCCGCGGCCGCUGCUGCCUCGGAUCCGAAGAAGGAGAAGCUCGAGAGCAGACCCGCUUACGGCUCCUCCAAGAGCUUCGAUGGAUACUCGACCGCCGUGGAAGAGCUUAAUUGGCAGGAGAAGUGCCUCGAGCUGCAACUCGAGCUGCAUAGGAGCAGAAGCCAGGCCACCAGGGUGAGGGACAUGCUUCGCGAGAAGCUCUCGGAGCUCGAGCAGCGGGUCUUGGAAGCCGAGGGCCGAGCUGACGAGGCGGAGGACAAGGUACGGAUGAUGGAGGAGCGGCUAGUGAAGGGUGAAUACUGCUUGAGCACAUCCGGCGUUGGCUCUCCACCGCAUUCGCUGCCGUCAACUUCCGGUACGCAGAAUGACAAGAUCGAGGACGUUCACUGUGCUUGCAUCUCGAAGCUAGAAACACAGGUCGAGGAACAGAGACAGUUGCGGCUUCAAGACGCGAGGCAGGUAGAGGCGAAGGCCGCGAGGAUAAAGGAAUGGGUCACCAAUAAAUUGAGGGAAUUGGAGCAACAGAAUCAACAUUUAAGGGAACAGAACAACAAGUGCAACCAGCAAUUGGAGCUGCUGAGAAAUCACAUUACGAAUAUCGGCCUGAAACCACCUGCACCCACAAGAGCAUCCCUGUCCCUGGAAGUGGAUUCGACGUUACGAAGGCGAUCGGAGAGCCUCGAAGGAACACCGCAGGCGGUUCCGGAAAGCGUGCAGAGUGCCGUGGCGGAACCUCAGACAGGCACCAAGCAUCGAAGACACCUGUCCGCUUGUGGAACGAUACAGCGAGGAAUCACCGCCACCAACAUGGAUUCGAGCCUACUGUCCGAAGAGCUGGCGGCGGCCGUCGAGAAUCUGGUGAUGCUACCAAAUAUACCGGGUAUUUCGGAAACGAGCAGAGACAGCGGAAGCUCGGAAGCUGUCCACGAUUAUGCGGAGAUUUACACGCCUAGUAGAGAAGGGAUGAAUUGGGCUCAGAAUGCACAGGGUCCUCGACCGCCCACUCCACCCCUGCACCGAUUUCCCAGUUGGGAGGCUAAGAUUUAUCAGGUAGCAGACGGUGGGCUUGGCAUCGGUCCACCGACGAACGAGGAAUCCGCGCCUUCCACGAUGACCAACACGACAAGCUCAUCGAAACAUUCCCAAGCAACAGGACACAACCUGACUGCGCACAAUUCCCAAGGCUACUGCGAUAUUUCGGUUCCAGUCUACGCAACGGUCAAGGGACGAGCCAGUCAAAUCAGGUCCAUGCCAUUCGGCGACAGUUCCGACGACAGUUCAGAUGGCGAGGAACAUCCCAAUCAGACGGAGACGAACACCAGAAUCACCAACAGUUCGUCCGAUAACACGGAUUCGUCGCUGGGCAGCGGAAGCAGUCCGUCGAAGAGCGUGAAAACCACAAGCAGCCUUAGUCCUGCGAAGAGAAGCUCCAGCGGCUCUCCCAGCAAAAGCGUGAAACGUGAUACCUCGUUGGAAUCUGGCCUGUCGGAAGACUACGCGAUACCUCCUGACGCGCUCAGCUCGACUUCCCUCGAAUCUAGUAUGCCUAGCUUACUGAUGCGCGUUUCUGGCGAGAGUCCAAAACGCCAAGAAUCUCUGGAAAAGACUGGCCAUCUCGCGAAACUCGGUGGCAAACUGAAAACAUGGCGGAAAAGGUGGUUCGUACUGAAGAACGGAGUACUCACCUAUUGGAAGAGUCAGAACGACGUGAAUCGAAAGCCGCAAGGGCAGAUUGUGUUGGAUGAAGUGUGCAGGAUAAACAGGGCAGAAGGCGCAGCUACGUUCGAGAUAGCAACGGGCAAGAAGACGUAUUAUUUAACGGCAGACUGCAUAGCGACGAUGGAAGACUGGAUAAGAGUUCUGCAGAAUGUACAAAGGCGGAACGCGACGAAACUUUUGCUCAGCAAAGAGGACAACAAGCCAACGAUACAAGGCUGGUUAACGAAGGUGAAGAACGGGCAUGCCAAGAAGUGCUGGUGCGUCCUCAUCGGAAAAAUGUUCCUUUACUUUAAGUGCCCUAACGAUACGAAUCCUAUUGGACAAAUAAACAUGAGGGACGCCAGAGUGGAAGAGGUGGAGCACGUGUCCGACAGCGACAGCGAGGAAAGAGACGCCGAGUGUCCUCACGAAAGGACGAUUGGCAUCUUCCCCACUCAUCAAGGUCCUACGUAUUUGCUGAUGCCCCACAAACAGGAGAAAGAUAAUUGGCUGUACCACUUGACGGUCGUGUCCGGUGGAGGACCCAGCGCGGGAACCCAGUACGAACAACUGGUUCAGAGACUGAUGGAAACUGACGGAGAUCCUAGCUGUGUUCUUUGGAGACAUCCGUUGCUGCUCCAUACGAAAGAGAAUAUCACUAGUCCACUGACCAGCUUGACAUCCGAAGCCUUGCAAACCGAGGCCAUCAAGCUUUUCAAGGCUUGCCAAUUGUUCAUGUCGGUGGCAGUGGAGCAAGCAGGCAUAGACUACCACGUGGUAUUAGCGCAAAACGCGUUACAACAAUGCUUAGAUCAACCUGAACUGCAAUCUGAAUUCAUAUGCGCACUGGUAAAGCAGACAAGUCGUCACACGCAACACCGUUUGGGCGUACAGGUAAAAAAGGCCGCCAGACUUGUGUCGCUGGGUACUGCGCGCGUUCAGCUCCUCCUCUGCGCCACGCAAUCGCUGUUCACCUGCGAUACGCAAAGUCCCGCGGCAAAUGGCAGCGGUGAAAAUGCGGACGCACAAUCGACGGCCUCCACUUCUCACAGUCCUCCGCUCAUGCAGGGCCAUUCGACAUCUACGAUUCUGGACUGCAAAACUAAUCCUGCCCAGUACGUUCUUAUCCAGGGAUGGCAGCUGCUAGCACUCGCUGUUUCACUUUUCCUGCCGAGAAACAAUCGGCUACUGUGGUACCUGAAGUUACAUCUGCAACGAAACGCGGACACCAAAACGGAAUGUGGUAAAUAUGCAGCCUACUGCGAAAGAGCUUUGGAAAGGACGCUGCAGAACGGCGGAAGAGAAGUGAAACCAUCUAGAAUGGAAGUUCUUUCGAUACUAAUGAAGAAUCCUUACCAUCACUCCCUGCCCCAUGCGAUACCGGUUCACUUCUUAAAUGGCACGUACCAGGUUGUAAGCUUCGAUGGUAGUACAACGAUAGAAGAGUUUCUGAAUACCUUGAAUCAAGAAAUUGGUUGUCGAGAUGUUCAUCAGUCUGGUUUUACGUUGUUCAGUGAUGAUCCGAUCGAGAAGGAUCUUGAACAUUUCAUCGAUCUUCAAGCAAAACUGUGUGAUAUAAUCUCAAAAUGGGAAACUGCUUUGAGAGAGAAAGGGUCAGGGAAGUUUGAAAACACCAGAGUGAUACAGUUGACGUAUAAAUCGAGAUGUUAUUGGCGACAGGCAGCCAAGAUGGAGACCGACAGGGAGAGGCUGCUUCUGUGUUACCAAAUUAAUCAGCAGGUGGUGCAAGGCAAAUUCCCAGUGAACAGAGAUCUUGCAUUCGAGCUUGCAUCGUUAAUGGCGCAGAUCGAUUUUGGGGAGUAUAAUAACGACAAAGCACGAGGCAGUGGCCCAGGAAGUAAUCCUCAUCAUCUCGUGCUUCAAGCCCUGGACAAAUUUUAUCCUCUGCGAUACAGAACAAACAUUACUGCCGAACAAUUGAGGGAAAUGCAAGAAAAAUUGCAAGAAAAGUGGAUCGCCUUAAAAGGUCGCAGUGUAUUAGACUGCGUUCGCAUAUAUCUAACUUGCACCAGAAAGUGGCCUUUCUUUGGAGCUACACUUUAUCAAGCAAAGCUAAAACAAGCUGAACCAAUAACUGUUUGGAUAGCUGUUUCCGAAGACAGCGUAACCUUACUGGAAUUACAAACAAUGGCGGUGAUGUGUCGUUACAACUAUGCAAAUAUAGUCACGUUUGGAGGAUGUUUAGAUGAUUUUAUGCUUGUUGCUUGCCCUGACGAAGGUGCUGCAGAACAGAAGCUUUUGUUCGCACUUUCUAAGCCCAAGAUUCUGGAAAUAACUUUAUUGAUCGCCGACUACAUGAACGCCUUGGGACACGCUUUACCUGGAACUCCACAAAUGAACACGUUAACGCGCAAUGGGUCUCAUAGAUCUAUCAAAUCGACUCUAAGACCUACCACUGGUUCAAGCUGUCUUCCAACACAACCGGAUAUCUUAAAGUCGACACCAGACCACCAAAGACCUUAAAAAGACUGGUGCAUCAACUUCGAACAUAAAGAAGCAGGGGAAUACGUAGUUCUUGGUUUAUAACAGUUUAAUUCUACCAAGGCACUAAGUUUAAUACUCGAAGGUACUACCAAGCUGUACUAUAAAAACCCGUAUAAGAAACGAUACACUGGACGAUGCGCAGUUACAUAUUGCGCUGUAGUUGAUUUUAGUUGCAUUUUUGUGUAAAUUAGUAAUUGAAUGCUUACGAACGACGUUUAUGUACAUACCUGACAGCAUUGAAACUCUGUGGUCCACGUUAAAGCGGAUUAGAACGUGGUGACUGAAGUUAAUUGAAACGAUUUGCAACACUGCCUAAAGUAAAAUUAGUAUGUCUGAAUCACAUCGAAUAGAGUUUCAUUGAAAAAGCUAAGCAAUCAUUGCUGAAACUUUUUUGCUACCGUAUUUAUAUACCAAAUUCGAGACGUUUUAGAGUAAGUUAACUAAAGAAAAAGCGACGUACCACAUACUGUGUAUAUAAUUUAAUCAGAGUUAUUGGAUGUUUAGAAGUCUAGUGAGUGAUGGCAGCGAUACCUUUGUCUUCAAUAUGAGAGUACGAUGACGUAAAUUCUUACUUCUUGCCAAAUCGACCGCAGGCCACGUACGAGCUGCAAUAGAAAAGUGCAGCCAUGAACACCAAUGCACACUUGAUCGUUAUUACUUGAGAAUAAGAUUCUGGUAAAGGUUAUCGAAUUGAAAAGGACACUUUUGGGGAAUUAAAAGUUCCUGCUGACAAAUAUUAUG